This 254-nucleotide ribosomal RNA is filed under the name uncultured bacterium. RNAcentral's name for it is "partial 16S ribosomal RNA". It matches the Rfam family "Bacterial small subunit ribosomal RNA", at positions 524 to 776 of the family's 1533-position model. The record is from RNAcentral.
UACGUAGGGUGCGAGCGUUGUCCGGAAUUAUUGGGCGUAAAGAGCUCGUAGGCGGUGUGUCACGUCGGCCGUGAAAACCUGCAGCUUAACUGUGGGCGUGCGGUCGAUACGGGCAUCACUGGAGUUCGGCAGGGGAGACUGGAAUUCCUGAUGUAGCGGUGAAAUGCGCAGAUAUCAGGAGGAACACCGGUGGCGAAGGCGGGUCUCUGGGCCGAUACUGACGCUGAGGAGCGAAAGCGUGGGGAGCAAACAGG